This 729-nucleotide long non-coding RNA is filed under the name Homo sapiens (human). RNAcentral describes it as "HSALNT0296683". The record is from RNAcentral. Lineage: Eukaryota; Metazoa; Chordata; Mammalia; Primates; Hominidae.
AAUGCACUGAGACUGGCCCCCAGCAGCUUUGGAAAAUGGGAGGGAAAUGCGUCUGUGGCUUCAAAACAUGUUACAGGGAAGAGGAGGGGACUCCAGAUUGCUUUUGCUCUUGGUGCUUCACAGGUUGUUAUCAAAUGGACCCUGCCAGACUGAAUUUCUUCCUGCAAAGAGGACAGUCCAGAAAAUAUGACACAAAUUGUGAAAAUGGUAUACAGCAGCUCAGCUUUGGGAAACGUGAGUCCUGUCUGCUUAUGGAUGUAUCGAUUCAUGGGUAUUACACUUGUCUCCCAAGUUGCUUGCUGAUGCUUUCAAGGUCAGGUAAUAACAUUCUCCAAGGAACUAAGCGGAGUGGCUGUCCUCAUUUCUCCCCUGACCUGCAGGCUGGCUGGCUGGUUGCCUUGCUUCUGGGAGAUGGCCAGGCAGCCUGUUGCUCCCUGUGCCCCUCACCGACCAGGCAGCUCACUCCCUUUGUGGCAGCCUCAUGUCAAAACCCAUCAGAAUAAGAGACUAUUAAUGAGGAUGGGAAGAGACAGAGAAAAGAGGGAAACACCACAGUAAGAUAAAAACAGAUCAAUAGUGAAGCUAAACAGAGCAAGAGGUUCUGAAAGCAAUUCAGGAGCUGUUAGCUUCUCAACAAACACAGGGUUUCUGAUAAUCUCAGAUGGACACAAAAAGGAGAGAGAUGGACAAAAAGCCAGAGAAGCACAUCAAUGGAAAGCAAUAAGGAGG